AGGGAAUCUUCCACAAUGGACGCAAGUCUGAUGGAGCAACGCCGCGUGAGUGAAGAAGGUUUUCGGACCGUAAAGCUCUGUUGUUGGUGAAGAAGGAUAGAGGUAGUAACUGGCCUUUAUUUGACGGUAAUCAACCAGAAAGUCACGGCUAACUACGUGCCAGCAGCCGCGGUAAAUCGUAGGUGGCAAGCGUUGUCCGGAUUUAUUGGGCGUAAAGCGAGCGCAGGCGGAAGAAUAAGUCUGAUGUGAAAGCCCUCGGCUUAACCGAGGAAUUGCAUCGGAAACUGUUUUCUUGAGUGCAGAAGAGGAGAGUAGAACUCCAUGUGUAGCGGUGGAAUGCGUAGAUAUAUGGAAGAAUACCAGUGGCGAAGGCGGCUCUCUGGUCUGCAACUGACGCUGAGGCUCGAAAGCAUGGGUAGCGAACAGGAUUAGAUACCCUGGUAGUCCAUGCCGUAAACGAUGAGUGCUAAGUGUUGGGAGGCUUCCGCCUCUCAGUGCUGCAGCUAACGCAUUAAGCACUCCGCCUGGGGGAGUACGACCGCAAGGUUGAAAC
RNAcentral lists this ribosomal RNA (553 nucleotides) under uncultured bacterium. RNAcentral describes it as "partial 16S ribosomal RNA". It matches the Rfam family "Bacterial small subunit ribosomal RNA", at positions 356 to 900 of the family's 1533-position model. The record is from RNAcentral.